GACGAACGCUGGCGGCGUGCUUAACACAUGCAAGUCGAACGGUGAAGCUCCAGCUUGCUGGAGUGGAUCAGUGGCGAACGGGUGAGUAACACGUGAGCGACCUGCCCCUGACUCUGGAAUAAGCGCUGGAAACGGCGUCUAAUACUGGAUACGAGAAGGGUCCGCAUGGGCACUUUCUGGAAAGUUUUUCGGUUGGGGAUGGGCUCGCGGCCUAUCAGCUUGUUGGUGAGGUAAUGGCUCACCAAGGCGACGACGGGUAGCCGGCCUGAGAGGGCGACCGGCCACACUGGGACUGAGACACGGCCCAGACUCCUACGGGAGGCAGCAGUGGGGAAUAUUGCACAAUGGGCGAAAGCCUGAUGCAGCGACGCCGCGUGAGGGAUGACGGCCUUCGGGUUGUAAACCUCUUUCAGCAGGGAAGAAGCGAAAGUGACGGUACCUGCAGAAGAAGCACCGGCUAACUACGUG
RNAcentral lists this ribosomal RNA (468 nucleotides) under uncultured bacterium. Its description in RNAcentral is "partial 16S ribosomal RNA". It matches the Rfam family "Bacterial small subunit ribosomal RNA", at positions 28 to 507 of the family's 1533-position model. The record is from RNAcentral.